RNAcentral lists this long non-coding RNA (5640 nucleotides) under Solanum tuberosum (potato). RNAcentral's name for it is "long non-coding RNA (STUB_LNC000216)". Lineage: Eukaryota; Viridiplantae; Streptophyta; Magnoliopsida; Solanales; Solanaceae. The record is from RNAcentral.
UACAAGGUCAUAUGGAGGAUGAACAUAGAAUACUUCACCCGUGAGUUGGAAAAGACAACAAGCAAUCCUGAAGAGGAAACACAACAAGAUCAACAAAGAAGAAUGCGAAAUGGGAAGUGUGUUGGCAGUAGAAAAUGGAUACCAACAACCAGAGUUUUUACUCUAACCAAAGAUAUUGAACAACCAGGUGGUCCUGCAAAAGACAAAAAUGGGAAUGUAAACACUUGUAAUCCUUUUGAAAUGUUAUACAAAUAAUGAAGUGAAUGACAUAAACAACAAGGAUGAUUGUAUUUUAACAAAUCCUACAAAACAAAAAGAAGAGACUACAAGAGAAUGGGUUGAUAAAUCUUUUAAAGAAGACUACAGACAUCAGAUUACACCUUCAAAAGCAGCUUCCAGUACCACUCCUAGUAGUCAUAGCAAUGGGAAAUCCAGUAAAUGGAGAGAUAGAGUGGAAAUUGAGCAGGCCAAAGAACUGGAGGAGAGUGAAAUUGAGACGAGGUAUCCCAGUAUGAAGUGUCGAGAGAUCGUGAUUUCUACUCAAUCGAAGGCUUUAGCUAGUAAGAAUGAUGAUGGUGAGUUCCAUGAGGAGAACCAGGUCUGCAAGGAUCUUGAUAUAGAAUUACGAAAAGUAGAUUCUGAAGACUCAAGGAAAAAUGAAAAGGAGGAUCAAAAUGAUACAGAGCAAUUCCAUUUGUUGGCAACACCUUACCAGAAAAGUCCAUCUGAAACAUUACAUGAUAUUCUUACGCACCAGAUGAAUAGGGUACAAGAGGCAGAAAGCAGUUAUGAUGAAAGUGUGACAAAAGUUGAGGAGGAUAUUGCUGAAAAUAUGGAGGAUGAUGCUAAUUGGAAGCAGGUUGGUAGGACAGGUGAUCUGUCUCCCAAAUCAUUAAAGAAAUUUGUUAAGAGGGGGAAAAAAGCAGACAAGCUUAGAAAAUCAAUAACCUACAAGAGUUGUGCCAAAAAGAGGGACCACAAACAAAGUUGUUACAUGAUGAUGAAAGCUAUCUUUUGGAAUAUCAGAUCUAUUAACACACAACAAGCUUUUAAUAGAUUGCAAAUGUUAAAUAGACAUCAUAAGUAUUUUCUUAUAGCUCUUAUGGAGCCAUUUCAACAUAUGAGACACCUGCGAGUUAUAAAAGAAAACUGAAAAUGUAUACAGCUGGCACAAAUAACAAUGGAAAGAUAUGGUUUUUUGUUAAGGAAGGGCUAGAUGUGGAAGUAAUCAGUGAUACAGAGCAACAAAUCACUGUAAAAAUAUCAUUCUUGGAGAAUCAGAAGCAAAUGAUUAUCACUAUGUUAUAUGCCAAAUGUUCUGAAGGAGAAGACUUGAUUUGUGGAAUGACAUAUAUUGUGGUAAUGAUACUACUCUUCCUUGGUUGAUUGGUGGAGACUUUAAUGUUAUUCUUCAUGAAGAUGAGAAAAUAGGGGGUUUACCUGUGACUCAGCGGGAGAUGGAAGAUUUUGCAUUUUGUGUGAAUUCUUGUGAACUUGAAGAAAUCCCUUUUAAAGGUAGCCCUUUCACUUGGUGGAAUGGGAGGGCAGGACCUGAUUGCAUUUUAAAAAGGUUGGAUAGACUAUUGGCAAACUCGCAUCUUAUGGAAUGGUUCUCAACAAUGGAGGUGGAUCAUUUACCUAGAACGGGGUUGGAUCAUUCCCCUAUGUUUCUUACUUUGAGUACAGGGCAUCAACCAGUUGUCAAACCUUUUAAAUUUCUCUCUUUCUGGGUGGAAGAUAUCACCCUGAAUGAGGUAGUCCUACAGCACUGGAAGACCAAUGAAACUGGAAAUAGUUUCUGGAUUUUCAAACACAAGUUGAAGAAUCAGAAAAAGGCUUUGAGGGUAUGGAGCAGGGAGAGGUAUGGUGAUAUCUUUCAACAACUAACUAUUAGAGAGGAGAUUAUGAAGAUGAAGGAACAGUUAUUUGAGGAAGAUCCUUCUUUCUCAAAUAGAAUGGCUAUGCAGCAGGCUCAAGCAGAAGUGAAAAGAUAUAUACACUAUGAGGAGGAAUUCUGGAGACAAAAGGCUGGAAUAACAUGGUUUGAAAAAGGAGAUAGAGAUACGAGAUUUUUUCAGUCUUGUAAACGGAAGGAGAAAGAAGCUACAAAUCCACAUAAUUAAAAAUACUAGUGGAGAUUGGAUAGAGGAGAAAGAUUUGGUUGCUGAUGAAGCUGCACAAUCUUAUAAGAGACAAUUCACACAAGAAGAGGAGGGAAAUAGUUUUGAACUGUUGAAAUUCUUACCAGAGAUGGUUACUACUGAAGAUAACAAAUUAUUAUGUACAGUACCCACCAUAGAGGAAGGUAAACAUGAUGUUUUUGGUUUAAAAUGUAGUAGUGCUUGUGGCCCUGAUGGGUUUUCAGGAAUAUUCUACCAACAUUGUUGGGAAGUAGUCAAACAAGAUAUCUAUAGCAUGGUGAAUGACUUCUUUGAAGGUAAUACUCUUCCAAAAAGUGUUACACAUACCAAUUUGGUACUUAUUCCAAAGAAGGAGGUUAUUGAAAGCUUCUUCAAUCUAAGACCUAUAAGCCUCAAUAACUUUAUUAACAAAGUUAUUUCUAGAGUAUUGCAUGAGAGGCUAGAAGGUUUAUUACCAAGUUAAUUUCUAAAAAUCAGUCAGGUUUUGUCAAGGGCAGAAGUAUCAUAGAGAAUGUUCUACUUACGUAGGAAAUAGUUACUGAUAUUAGACUGAGAGGUAAGCCAUCUAAUGUCAUUAUAAAAUUGGAUAUGUCAAAGGCCUAUGAUAGAGUAUCAUGGCUCUUAUUAACAAAAGUCAUGAGAAAGAUGGGCUUUACAGAAGUGUUUAUUGAUAUGAUUUGGAGACUAAUUGCUAAUAACUGGUAUUCUAUUAUUAUUAAUGGACAGUCAUAUGGCUUUUUCCAUUCUACAAGGGGAAUCAAACAGGGAGACCCCUUAUCGCUUGCAUUAUUCACUCUCACUUCUGAGGUGUUGUCCAGAGCUCUCAAUGCUCUCUUUGAAGAUGAGAGAUAUAAACAAUAUGGGUUGCCUAAAUGGAGUAGGAACAUAAAUCAUCUAGCGUAUGCUGAUGAUACCAUCUUAUUUACCUCUACUGCUAAAGGAUCUCUAGAUUUGGUGAUGACAGUGUUAAAAGAUUAUCAACAAGCAUCUAGCCAGCUUAUCAAUAAUCAGAAAAGUAGCUUCUAUAUGUACAGAAAGGUUUCUAAUGUUUUGAUGGAUGAAGUAAAGGAAACAACAGGAUUUAACCAAGGGAAAUUUCCUUUUGUAUAUUUGGGUUGCCCCAUCACACAUGCUAAGAAAAGAAAGGCAGAUUAUAAUGAGAUCAUUAAGAAGGUGAAGGGGAGACUUCAAAACUGGAAAGGAAAACUACUCUCCUAUGGGGAUUCCUAUGGAGCAAUAAAGAUGAAUGCAAGAGUAAACAUUGGGUAUCUUGGGAUAUGAUGUGUUACCCUAAGGAAGAAGGAGGUUUGGGUUUUAGAUCUUUAUUUGAUAUAUCGAAAGCUUUAUUUGCCAAACUAUGGUGGAAUUUCAGAACAUCCCGAUCUCUAUUGACUGAUUAUAUGUGGAAUAAGUAUUGUAAAAAGAUAAUUCCUACAUUAGUACAAUGGAAAAUAGGGUCUCAAAUUUGGAGAAAAAUGCUUGAGGCCAGGGACGAUAUUGAACAAGAAAUAUGGUGGGAACCUACUGUGGGUUCUUCUAGCAUAUGGUUUGACACCUGGACUAAAUUGGGAGCUUUAUAUCAUGUAGUGGAAACUAAUUUCGCAAUUGAGAAUGAGAUAAGAGAUAUUGAUUCACUAAUGAUAGAUGAAAAAUGGAAUGAACGGAAGAUGUCAGAAAUCCUCCCUAGUGAUAUUGUACAACAUAUUCAGGAUCAUAUUCACAUUAGUAAGGCAGCUUCACCUUGGGAUUUGCCUUGGUGGAUGGCUACUACUAGUGGGAAAUUCUCGGUGGCCAGUGCUUUCCAAUUGAUGAGACAGAGAAACUCACCAGUAGAAAACAUGAAACGUUUAUAGAGUAAGGGAGUCCCUUUAAAGAUUAACUUCUUUUUAUGGAGGUUGUGGAAAUAUAAGCUUCCUAUUGAUGAUAUUCUUCAAAGGUGUGGUAUCAAUUUGGUGUCAAGGUGUAGAUGUUGUGAGUCACCACAUACAGAAACCUCUCAACAUCUAUUUAUUACUAGUGAGUUUGCUCAAAAGACCUGGAAAUACUUUUUUAUUGGUUUUGGAGUAGAGGGUCCUUUUGUGCAAUGCCAUGAAACUAUUCAAAAAUGGUGGAAUACUGAGAGUCAUAGCAGGAUUAAACCAAUUUUGCAAGCUAUUCCUGGUAUGAUAUGCUGGCAGUUGUGGAAAAGAAGAAAUAAGGUGAAUUAUGGAGGCACUAUGACUUGGAGGAGAGUGAUAUAUAAGAUCUCUAGAAACACUCAUCUUUUAACCAUGAUUUUGUAUCCAUGGAUGAAGAACAUCCCACAAGAAUGGCCCCUUUUGAUGGAUUUUCUUCAAAAAUACAAAUCUGUGAUAAGAUUGGUACCUAUAAGUUGGAAACUACCUAAUCAAGGUUGGUUCAAAUGUAAUUCAGAUGGUGCUUCUAAAGGAAACCCUGGUCCAAGUUCUAUAGCAUUUUGUAUCAAGGGAAUAUUCAAUAUGCUCUAUGUAGAAGGAUGACAGACUCUACUAGUCUAUUUGUUGAGGCUACGGCUUUGAAGGAAGGGUGUGAGCUAUGUGUUGAAAGACUAUAUCUACCAGUUAUAUUGGAAACACAUUCUUUGGCCCUAAUAAAAAUAUUAAGGGGAGAUUGGGAUUGCCCCUGGAGUAUUGUGAUGAUUAUAAGGAGGAAAAAAGAGGUGAUUGAAGGAGGUCUCAUACAACUUCAGCACACACAUAGAGAAGGCAACAACGCUGCAGAUUUUUAGCUAACUGGUGUUUUAGUUUUGCAGGGACAAAAUGCUUUGAUUCAUUUGCAACAUUACCAAGGAAGGCUAAAGGCAUAAUUAUUUUAGACAAACAACAAGUUCCACAUAUGAGAAUCAAAAGACUUAAAAGACAAGCAUAAGAUGAAAUGAGACAAGAUUUAUAGCUCAGAUACUAUACUGUUGUUUAACAAAAGAGACAAGCAAGAUGGAAAUUAAACAAUCAACACAACAACAACGUACUGGCAGUAUAUUUCAGACCAAUUUGGAGAUUUGUACAGUGGGGUAAGUACAAGUCAAUGAUACAUUCGUUUGAAAUCUAUUAAGGUGGUAUCAAUCUCACUAGAGGUUCCUUCCUUUGUAGAAAUUAAACGAAAGUAUCAGGAUGCGUACCUUACAGAUACUCAAAGCUGUUAGAUCUAAUUCCCUUGAUUUUGUGAAGAAAAAGUCACAAGCUUGGAGUGAGCUCCAUCGAGAUUUAAAUACAUAGCACCUGGUGAGAGUUUAAAGGUGACUAGAAAUGUAUUUUGGCUCAAAGCUUCAGAUUUUUUACUCAAAUUAGGUGAAAAAGAUGACAUAGCAAAGCUAUAAACACAAGCUGGAAGGUAAUUUAUGGUGGUCAGCUUACCUGAGACGAGGAUUCCGACGAGCAGCUGAAGAAGAAGACUGAUUGACGCAGCAAGAGAUCGCCUCACUUUCCUUUAUGAGAAUGACAAUUUAUUAUUCUUUCCUUUGCUCUUUUAAAUUAGGUUUCUU